This 465-nucleotide ribosomal RNA is filed under the name Vreelandella stevensii. Its description in RNAcentral is "partial 16S ribosomal RNA". It matches the Rfam family "Bacterial small subunit ribosomal RNA", at positions 338 to 795 of the family's 1533-position model. The record is from RNAcentral. Lineage: Bacteria; Pseudomonadati; Pseudomonadota; Gammaproteobacteria; Oceanospirillales; Halomonadaceae.
CCUACGGUUUGCUGCAGUGGGGAAUAUUGGACAAUGGGCGAAAGCCUGAUCCAGCCAUGCCGCGUGUGUGAAGAAGGCCUUCGGGUUGUAAAGCACUUUCAGUGGGGAAGAAAGCCUUGGGGCUAAUACCCUCGAGGAAGGACAUCACCCACAGAAGAAGCACCGGCUAACUCCGUGCCAGCAGCCGCGGUAAUACGGAGGGUGCGAGCGUUAAUCGGAAUUACUGGGCGUAAAGCGCGCGUAGGCGGUCUGAUAAGCCGGUUGUGAAAGCCCCGGGCUCAACCUGGGAACGGCAUCCGGAACUGUCAGGCUAGAGUGCAGGAGAGGAAGGUAGAAUUCCCGGUGUAGCGGUGAAAUGCGUAGAGAUCGGGAGGAAUACCAGUGGCGAAGGCGGCCUUCUGGACUGACACUGACGCUGAGGUGCGAAAGCGUGGGUAGCAAACAGGAUUAGAUACCCUAGUAGUC